AAUAGGUAUGCUUAGGGAGGAGCUUGCGUCACAUUAGUUAGUUGGUGGGGUAAAGGCCUACCAAGACUAUGAUGUGUAGCCGGGCUGAGAGGUUGAACGGCCACAUUGGGACUGAGACACGGCCCAAACUCCUACGGGAGGCAGCAGUAGGGAAUUUUCGGCAAUGGAGGAAACUCUGACCGAGCAACGCCGCGUGAACGAUGAAGUAUUUCGGUACGUAAAGUUCUUUUAUUAGGGAAGAAUAAAUGAUGGAAAAAUCAUUCUGACGGUACCUAAUGAAUAAGCCCCGGCUAACUAUGUGCCAGCAGCCGCGGUAAUACAUAGGGGGCAAGCGUUAUCCGGAAUUAUUGGGCGUAAAGGGUGCGUAGGCGGUUAAAUAAGUUUAUGGUCUAAGUGCAAUGCUUAACAUUGUGAUGCUAUAAAAACUGUUUAACUAGAGUAAGAUAGAGGCAAGUGGAAUUCCAUGUGUAGUGGUAAAAUGCGUAAAUAUAUGGAGGAACACCAGUAGCGAAGGCGGCUUGCUGGGUCUUUACUGACGCUGAGGCACGAAAGCGUGGGGAGCAAACAGGAUUAGAUACCCUGGUAGUCCACGCCGUAAACGAUGAGUACUAAAUGUUGGGUAAAACCAGUGUUGAAGUUAACACAUUAAGUACUCCGCCUGAGUAGUACGUACGCAAGUAUGAAACUUAAAGGAAUUGACGGGACUCCGCACAAGCGGUGGAUCAUGUUGUUUAAUUCGAAGGUACCCGAAAAACCUCACCAGGUCUUGACAUGCUUCUGCAAAGCUGUAGAAACACAGUGGAGGUUAUCAGUUGCACAGGUGGUGCAUGGUUGUCGUCAGCUCGUGUCGUGAGAUGUUGGGUUAAGUCCCGCAACGAGCGCAACCCUUAUUGUUAGUUGCCAGCACGUAAUGGUGGGGACUUUAGCAAGACUGCCAGUGAUAAAUUGGAGGAAGGUGGGGACGACGUCAAAUCAUCAUGCCCCUUAUGACCUGGGCUACAAACGUGAUACAAUGGCUGUUACAAAGGGUAGCUGAAACGCAAGUUUUUGGCGAAUCUCAAAAAAACAGUCUCAGUUCGGAUUGAAGUCUGCAACUCGACUUCAUGAAGUGGAAUCGCUAGUAAUCGCG
RNAcentral lists this ribosomal RNA (1129 nucleotides) under 'Colladonus geminatus' phytoplasma. RNAcentral's name for it is "bacterial SSU rRNA". It matches the Rfam family "Bacterial small subunit ribosomal RNA", at positions 208 to 1346 of the family's 1533-position model. RNAcentral also lists the same sequence under 1 other name. The record is from RNAcentral. Lineage: Bacteria; Bacillati; Mycoplasmatota; Mollicutes; Acholeplasmatales; Acholeplasmataceae.